GACGAACGCUGGCGGCGUGCUUAACACAUGCAAGUCGAACGGAAAGGCCCUGCUUUUGUGGGGUGCUCGAGUGGCGAACGGGUGAGUAACACGUGAGUAACCUGCCCUUGACUUUGGGAUAACUUCAGGAAACUGGGGCUAAUACCGGAUAGGAGCUCCUGCUGCAUGGUGGGGGUUGGAAAGUUUCGGCGGUUGGGGAUGGACUCGCGGCUUAUCAGCUUGUUGGUGGGGUAGUGGCUUACCAAGGGUUUGACGGGUAGCCGGCCUGAGAGGGGGAACGGCCACAUGGGGACUGCGAUACGGCCCAGAAUCCAACGGGAGGCAGCAGGGGGGAAUAUUGCACAAUGGGCGGAAGCCUGAUGCAGCAGCGCCCCGUGCGGGAUGACGUCCUUCGGGUGGUAAACCGCUUUCGCCUGUGACGAAGCGUGAGUGACGGUAAUGGGUAAAGAAGCACCGGCUAACUACGUG
This 468-nucleotide ribosomal RNA is filed under the name uncultured bacterium. Its description in RNAcentral is "partial 16S ribosomal RNA". It matches the Rfam family "Bacterial small subunit ribosomal RNA", at positions 28 to 507 of the family's 1533-position model. The record is from RNAcentral.